GAUUGAGCACCACUGUUCUAAAAGGAUGUAAAAUGUUCCAUUUCUGCUGGUUAAAAUUCAGAAAGUUACCAACUCAAAAGCUUCAGGAUGUCUUUGAACCUGACCAAUGCUCUCGACCCACCCUGACCCACCAAGACUACAUAAGCAUUAAGAACUGCUCAGAGGCAUUCUCAGACCAGUGGAGGUUAACUGGUUCACUUCUCGGAAGCCCUUUAUGCCUUUCUUUGUCACAUCAAAAUUUGAGGCGUCACUAUUGAUGUGUUUUGUGGACAUUCUUAAGCAAAACAAGGGUUAGUCAGCAACUGAAUUAGGGAGUAACUCAUUCUGGAACAAACCUCAACCCCGACCAAUGGGCACUGACCAAAACUGAUCCAAGCAGCUUUUGUGACACAGAACGUGACCAUCUCUGCUGAAUAUGAAGAAGUUGUGGAGAUUUU
Molecule: long non-coding RNA, 437 nt
Organism: Mastomys coucha (southern multimammate mouse)
Lineage: Eukaryota; Metazoa; Chordata; Mammalia; Rodentia; Muridae
Exons: 3
Source: RefSeq, a predicted model, not a curated record